AAUAUUGCACAAUGGGCGAAAGCCUGAUGCAGCGACGCCGCGUGAGGGAUGACGGCCUUCGGGUUGUAAACCUCUUUCAGCAGGGACGAAGCGCAAGUGACGGUACCUGCAGAAGAAGCACCGGCUAACUACGUGCCAGCAGCCGCGGUAAUACGUAGGGUGCAAGCGUUGUCCGGAAUUACUGGGCGUAAAGAGUUCGUAGGCGGUUUGUCGCGUCGUUUGUGAAAACCAGCAGCUCAACUGCUGGCUUGCAGGCGAUACGGGCAGACUUGAGUACUGCAGGGGAGACUGGAAUUCCUGGUGUAGCGGUGAAAUGCGCAGAUAUCAGGAGGAACACCGGUGGCGAAGGCGGGUCUCUGGGCAGUAACUGACGCUGAGGAACGAAAGCGUGGGUAGCGAACAGGAUUAGAUACCCUGGUAGUCCACGCCGUAAACGGUGGGCGCUAGGUGUGGGUUCCUUCCACGGAAUCCGUGCCGUAGCUAACGCAUUAAGCGCCCCG
Molecule: ribosomal RNA, 500 nt
Filed under: uncultured bacterium
Lineage: Bacteria
Description: bacterial SSU rRNA
Rfam family: Bacterial small subunit ribosomal RNA
Source: RNAcentral